This 492-nucleotide ribosomal RNA is filed under the name uncultured bacterium. RNAcentral describes it as "partial 16S ribosomal RNA". The stretch from base 56 to 492 matches the Rfam family "Bacterial small subunit ribosomal RNA", at positions 39 to 507 of the family's 1533-position model. The record is from RNAcentral.
GGGGGGGGGGGGGGGGGGGGGUUGGGGGGGGGGGGGGGGGGGGAGGGGGGGUGGGGGGGCGGGCGGGUGGCGAGGGGGUGAGUAGUGCGUCGGAACGGACCCAGGGGUGGGGGAUAGCGCAGCGAAAGCGGUGCUCAUACCGCAUGUUAUCCGAGGAUGAAAGGGGGGGACCGAGCCGCAAUGGUUGGCCGCGCGCCUUUGGAGCGUCCGUUGUCGGACUACGCAGGGGGUGGUGUAAAGGCCUACCAAGGCGACGAUCCGUAGCUGGUCUUAUAGGACGCACAGCCACACUGGGACUGCGACACGGCCCAGACGCCGACGGGAGGCAGCAGGGGGGAAUUUUGGACAAUGGGCGAAAGCCUGAUCCAGCAAUGCCGCGUGCGGGAAGAAGGCCUUCGGGUUGUAAACCGCUUUUGGCAGGAACGAAACGGUGUCCGCUAAUACCGGGCGCUAAUGACGGGACCUGCAGAAUAAGCACCGGCUAACUACGUG